CUGCACUCAGUUAAGUCAACUGUGCUCUUUUACCCGUGGGGUCGGUACACAAUGGCUGCAAGCAGUAGACUCAUUGGGAGUUCCCAAAGUCUGAUACUUAUAUAAGUCACCCUAGGAGACUUCAGAGACAGCC
This is a small nucleolar RNA of Sorex araneus (European shrew), 133 nucleotides long. Its record names the gene SNORA70. It matches the Rfam family "Small nucleolar RNA SNORA70". Rfam says of the family: snoRNA U70 seems to be exclusive to mammals and is a member of the H/ACA class of snoRNA which contain H (ANANNA) and ACA box motifs. The record is from Ensembl. Lineage: Eukaryota; Metazoa; Chordata; Mammalia; Eulipotyphla; Soricidae.